UGCACUCACUACUGUAAGUCACUCUGGAUAAGAGUGUCUACUAAAUGUAAAAAU
This is a non-coding RNA of Salmo salar (Atlantic salmon), 54 nucleotides long. The record is from Rfam. NCBI's taxonomy places the organism in Eukaryota, Metazoa, Chordata, Actinopteri, Salmoniformes, Salmonidae.